Molecule: unclassified non-coding RNA, 2318 nt
Filed under: Leishmania donovani
Lineage: Eukaryota; Euglenozoa; Kinetoplastea; Trypanosomatida; Trypanosomatidae
Description: gene:LdHU3.26.1330(CDS-product:hypothetical_prote in_conserved)
Source: RNAcentral
UGACCGAAUGCCACCGCUGCUGCCGUGGCGGUGCCUUUACUCGCGAGGAGGCCCUUCCGCGUACGGCGCAGUCAGCGCUCUUAGGCGGACCUUCUCGCGCUCGCCGCUUUCGCGUGCGCGGCCGCGGUCACACAAGCGCAGAUGGAAAGAGGAGAGGAGUCGCGCGGUUCCCCCCUCAAGCAAGAAGCACGUAUCACCACCGAAGCUCUCUGGAAGGCAGGGCGUCUUCCAUUCUCAUCCUCGUGGCGGCUCACAGCUAUCUUCAUCCUCCUCGCCACCGUCUCCUUCACCAGCGAUGGCUGUGAGUGACGUGCACGGUGCCGUCGCCCCACCCCGCACCUCAUGCAGCACAGAGGAGAAGGAGAGAGGUCUUCUGCGCUACUUUAGCCGCGGUCGCUGUCUUUACGACACGGUUCCACUGCAGAGCGCGUCCUUUGCCCUCCAGCGCGCGUCUUGCACGCAGGCGCAGCGUGUCCCGCUCGUCACCCUCUUUCCUGCCCCGUCUCCAUCCGAAUCCGCAGCAUCGCUUUCAACUUCGGCUGCAGCAUGCCCCACGGCAGAGUCUCCCGGUUUCAUCGGUGUUCAGCCUCCCGCGUCACGCCCGAUCGGCAAGUCCGUCACAACGGCGGAAGGGCCCGUGCCCGUAGCACCGCCGAGCGCAUCGUCCCCGCUGUCGCGCGACUUAUCAUUCAAUCUUUUCUCGAGCUAUGAGCUGCAAGAAAGACAGCAUUCGGACUGGCUGCAGUUUCGCCUUCUCAGCGCGCGCUUCUCAAGCGCAUCCGACUCGAACAAGUUCUAUGGCGCGGCAGAGAUGCCGCUACGGGAUGUGUGCGCUGACAUGGCAGAGAUUUGGGACACGACGUGCACGGCGUGGGAGGAGGCCAUGCGGGCCUGGAGCGGCGCCGCACGCAGCGGGUCAGCGGGCUUCUCCAGGCGCCACUCUGCCUGUUUUUUGGUUUGCUACGUGCAAACGCAGCAGAAGGUUGCUGUUGGCAUGUCCGUGCAGCGCAUCGCGGCGCAGGUGUGCGAGCUGGCUCGCGCCAACUACGCGUCGCAGCUGUUCCGGGUCGUUCCCAUCUUCAUUGGUGUGCGGGCACAGGCGAUGUUGUGCAUGGACGCGACUGCGUGCAGUUCACUAGCGGCGGAUGUGGAGCCAACGGUCGCCGCUCGAACAACUGAAACGGUCACCUACGCAACGGGGGGCUUGUACACCUUGGCAGAGACGGUGCAGUGCAUCACGCGCUUGGACCCUCACGCCUUUGAUCCGCGGGGGUCUUCUGACGCCUUGCCGCAUGUAGGGCCCUCGCGUGCUGCUCCAGAGUUGUUGUGCACGUUGGAGCCGCAGGUCUUCCUGUUGUCGGACAGCUGGCUGCACGUGCGCAGCGUCGCCGACCUCUACGGCGACGAUUCUUUGAACAACCCCGCAUCUGACAGUCGAGCGACGUCUGCAGCAGCACCUCCAGCUUCUGAGCAGGGGCGGAAUCGCCACGCCCGUGGGGCGACGUCGUUUGUACCGGAGUCGACACGGCGCAACGUGCACGUUGUCCCCGCUGUGGUGGCGGAUCGCCUGAGUCGGAAAGAGGAGCGCGCCAUCGCCCGCUACAUCUGGUGCGACAUGCAGCGUCGAGUCAGUGGCCGCCGCACUGCCGAGACUCUGCAACCGUACCACCCAUCCUCUCUCGUCAAGCCCCUGUGAGGAUGCCUGAGAGAGUUUGCGCGUGUGCGUGCCCCGUCAGUGCUGAGCGGGUGGCGCCGCCAACGGCGGUUUGCCGCCGCGGCGCGGCACGCACCCAUUGGCGGGCAUAAGACCGAGUGGGAGACAUCCAAGAGCACCUUGAUGUAUGAUGGAGUCGACACGUCUGACGUGACGCCGAAACGAACGUGAUUGUAUUCCUCGAAUGCCAUCGUCCCAUAUCACCCUCCGCGCUCUACUCCUGACCCUCUCCACUCAGUUCACAAGCUCGUGUAGACUUGACUGCCGGCAGCGCUCCGCGUACACAGCGAGGCAGAUGGAGGAAGGAAGGGAGCGCCAAGAAGGCAAAGAGCAGGCCAGUGGUGCUGCUGCUGCCGCUGUGGAACGCGGCUCUGUGGUGCGCGCGUAGGUCUACUCCGCCUGUCUCUGUACGUCUCUGUGCGUAUGCGCUUCGUCUCCUCUGCUUUUCCUUGCUCUGAAUCCUGCCCUGAUACCCCAUCCUCUCCCCUCGUCUUUCGUCUUCGCUUCCUCUGGUGCCCCCCCUCUCCUCCUCCUCGUCCGCUAGGACUGGCGUAGGUGUGCGCGUGCGUGCAUGAAUACACCUUUCGAGGUCGAUCUAUACAAC